This 403-nucleotide ribosomal RNA is filed under the name uncultured bacterium. RNAcentral's name for it is "partial 16S ribosomal RNA". It matches the Rfam family "Bacterial small subunit ribosomal RNA", at positions 28 to 526 of the family's 1533-position model. The record is from RNAcentral.
GACGAACGCUGGCGGCGUGCCUAAUACAUGCAAGUCGAACGCAGUGGGGACGGGUGAGUAACACGUGGGUAACCUCCCAUCAGAGGGGAUAACACUUGGAAACAGGUGCUAAACCGAUACUGAUGGAUGAACCCGCGGUGCAUUAGCUAGUGGGGGAGGUAAAGGAUCACCAAGGGCACGAUGCAUAGCCGACCUGAGAGGGUUAUCGGACACACUGGGACUGAGACACGGCCCAGACUCCUACGGGAGGCAGAAGUAGGGAAUAUUCGGCAAUGGGCGAAAGUCUGAUCGAGCAACGCCGCGUGAGUGAAGAAGGUUUUCGGAUCGUAAAACUCUGUAGUUAGAGAAGCGGUAUCUAACCAGAAAGCCACGGCUAACUACGUGCCAGCAGCCGCGGUAAUUC